This 334-nucleotide ribosomal RNA is filed under the name uncultured soil bacterium. Its description in RNAcentral is "bacterial SSU rRNA". It matches the Rfam family "Bacterial small subunit ribosomal RNA", at positions 26 to 361 of the family's 1533-position model. The record is from RNAcentral.
AGGAUGAACGCUAGCGGCAGGCUUAACACAUGCAAGUCGAGGGGCAGCACGUCUUCGGAUGGUGGCGACCGGCGCACGGGUGCGUAACGCGUAUACAAUCUACCUUAUAGAGGGGAAUAGCCCAGAGAAAUUUGGAUUAAUGCCCCAUAGUAUUAUGAAUCAGCAUUGGUUUAUAAUUAAACAUUUAUGCUAUAGAUGAGUAUGCGUCUAUUAGUUAGUUGGUAAGGUAACGGCUUACCAAGACCGCGAUAGGUAGGGUCCUGAGAGGGAGACGUCCCCCCACACUGGUACUGACGACACGGACCAGCCUCCGUACGGAGGCAGCAGUGAGAUA